RNAcentral lists this ribosomal RNA (481 nucleotides) under uncultured bacterium. Its description in RNAcentral is "partial 16S ribosomal RNA". It matches the Rfam family "Bacterial small subunit ribosomal RNA", at positions 28 to 507 of the family's 1533-position model. The record is from RNAcentral.
GAUGAACGCUGGCGGCGUGCUUAACACAUGCAAGUCGAACGAAGCACUUUAUUUGAUUUCCUUCGGGACUGAUUAUUUUGUGACUGAGUGGCGGACGGGUGAGUAACGCGUGGGUAACCUGCCUUGUACAGGGGGAUAACGGUUGGAAACGGCUGCUAAUACCGCAUAAGCGCACAGCAUCGCAUGAUGCAGUGUGAAAAACUCCGGUGGUAUAAGAUGGACCCGCGUUGGAUUAGCUAGUUGGUGAGGUAACGGCCCACCAAGGCGACGAUCCAUAGCCGACCUGAGAGGGUGACCGGCCACAGUGGGACUGAGACACGGCCCAAACUCCUACGGGAGGCAGCAGUGGGGAAUAUUGCACAAUGGGCGAAAGCCUGAUGCAGCGACGCCGCGUGAGCGAAGAAGUAUUUCGGUAUGUAAAGCUCUAUCAGCAGGGAAGAUAAUGACGGUACCUGACGAAGAAGCACCGGCUAAAUACGUG